RNAcentral lists this ribosomal RNA (253 nucleotides) under uncultured bacterium. Its description in RNAcentral is "partial 16S ribosomal RNA". It matches the Rfam family "Bacterial small subunit ribosomal RNA", at positions 524 to 776 of the family's 1533-position model. The record is from RNAcentral.
UACGGAGGGUGCUAGCGUUGUUCGGAAUUACUGGGCGUAAAGGGCGCGCAGGCGGCCGUUUGCGUCGGAUGUGAAAGCCCGGGGCUCAACCUCGGAACGGCAUUCGAUACGGGACGGCUGGAGACCGGGAGAGGAGAGUGGAAUAGCCAGUGUAGAGGUGAAAUUCGUAGAUAUUGGCUGGAACACCGGUGGCGAAAGCGGCUCUCUGGCCCGGUUCUGACGCUGAGGCGCGAAAGCGUGGGGAGCAAACAGG